UACCAGACUCCUACGGGAGGCAGCAGUGGGGAAUAUUGCACAAUGGGGGAAACCCUGAUGCAGCGACGCCGCGUGAGUGAAGAAGUAUUUCGGUAUGUAAAGCUCUAUCAGCAGGGAAGAAAUAACGACCUUUGGGUCGCCAGACGGUACCUGAUUAAGAAGCCCCGGCUAACUACGUGCCAGCAGCCGCGGUAAUACGUAGGGGGCAAGCGUUAUCCGGAUUUACUGGGUGUAAAGGGAGCGUAGACGGCAGCGCAAGUCUGAAGUGAAAUGCCGGGGCCCAACCCCGGGACUGCUCUGGAAACUAUUUAACUUAAGUGCAGGAGAGGUAAGCGGAAUUCCUAGUGUAGCGGUGAAAUGCGUAGAUAUUAGGAGGAACACCAGUGGCGAAGGCGGCUUACUGGACUGUAACUGACGUUGAGGCUCGAAAGCGUGGGGAGCAAACGGGAUUAGAUACCCUCGUA
RNAcentral lists this ribosomal RNA (464 nucleotides) under uncultured bacterium. Its description in RNAcentral is "bacterial SSU rRNA". It matches the Rfam family "Bacterial small subunit ribosomal RNA", at positions 329 to 792 of the family's 1533-position model. The record is from RNAcentral.